Molecule: long non-coding RNA, 1977 nt
Organism: Onychostoma macrolepis
Lineage: Eukaryota; Metazoa; Chordata; Actinopteri; Cypriniformes; Cyprinidae
Exons: 3
Source: RefSeq, a predicted model, not a curated record
CAAUGGAAGUUUUUUGGGCGUGACGUGCAAUAAACCAAUCAGAGUCUCAUCUCCCAUUUCCUUUAAGAGUGAGUUGCGCUUUAAACGGCGGAAUUUUAUGGCCACAUACUGAGAGCAAACGGAUCUGCUCAUGCGCGAGCAAAUAGACGCAGGCCUCCCCUGAGCAGGAUCACAUGGUUUUUCUGGACAGAGCUCCAGACACCGGAACAUCUGCUCUACUUCUCCUCAGACUGGGGCCAAAUCUCCAACCUGACCAGACUGCACACAGCAGUUCAUCUCAUCUCAUUUAUGGCAAACAUGGACCGCCUCUGAUGUCCCCUUCAAGAAAUAUGUGCAUUACAUCCCUGAGUAUAGGCUAGUGAAAGAGAAUAAAUGUUGUAUGAUGAGGAUGAGGUAGUUGGCCAGAGGUUGAUGACUAAGCAGUUUUUUUUUUCUGCAAAAUGUGAGUGUGUGUUGAAGACAGAGAGGCAGUGACAGAGAGAAAAUAAGGUUUAACAUGGUAAAAUACAGCUAGGGUUGGAACUCAGCCCAGUGUACUUAUUAAUACUUACUCCUUGGGGUCGGAAGUGGAUGAGAAGUCUGACAUGAUGUCACCCGGUGAGAAAUAUGACCUAGGCGCACACAAACGCGUGCGCAUGCGAUGCUCUCCCACAUUACGAUCCGUCGGCUGGGAUGUCAUGUCACUUAUCUUAAGCAGUGCAGAGAUGUGGCAGGAGAUGAUAACACCGAGCCUGACUGAAAAACGCUGACUGCUUGGAUUCAUGAGCGACCAAAACAUCAAGAAUCACAGCUUGGCUGCCUUUAAAGUUCGGUGGAAAUGUCUGGGAAGUGAAAACCGAGCUGUGUGCCAAGUUCUUGAUUAGUUGCAUCAACACUUACAACUCUUCAUUUGCGAAUUUGGAGCGCUUGACAAAUUACACUCAAACUAUUGCGCUCGCAGCCUCGAUUCGACUAAUUACGUUUAAUUAUUUAUUACUUCCCAUUUUUAACUUUAGGUUCUUAGUUAACUUCUCACUUCAGAGUAUUAAUUUUCAAUUUUCAUAGUGAAUGAACAUGUACAAAGUGCGCGCUUUUAUUUCAUUUUUUAUUUUUUAAUGAAUUCCGGAUUAUAACGUGCACUCUCCUCCCUUCAGAAGGGGCUCAGGGAGCGCGUGCAAUCUCUUGAUAAUGUUGAUGAGAGCAUUAUAGGUAAUGACUUCAACAAUAGCAACAGUCAUACUCAUUUUCAUUUUCGUGAUUGCGUUCAGUCUAACGUAAAGCCCUCCUCUCCUCUGUUUGCACGACGAUUCAACUGAGAGCUUCCCUUAAGGGAGCUGCUUCCUAUCUCAUCCAUACUGCAUCGUUCUGUCAACACGGACGUCUUGUUGCUGCCAUUCACGCUGCGACUACACGCUUUCCGUAUCCUCUAGCCCUAAAAUAUUCGUCUUUAAAUGCAUAUGCGUUUUUGUUUGAACUUACUUCUCUUUUUUCCUACCCCAACACCCCCCACAACUGUUUGUCAGCCCCCAUUUACGAAGUGGGAACAUCUAUUUUAAGCUCUGCGCCAUAGACCAGCCACCCACACGCUGCUAGUGAGAGAGAGGGAGAAGAAGCAGAUAAAAGAGUGAGAGAGAGAGAGACUAGCACAUGUUAUCAGAGGAGCAGAAGCACUGGGGGGAGAGAAACCGAAUGAGGGGGUUAGUGUAUGUGUGUCACCAGUUCAUCAAAAGCAACAAUGCUGUUGGCACAGCAACAGUUUAUUUAACACCACAUACACACAUGGGCAGAUGCUUUACAGAUGAUACAUUAGAUACGAUCCAGUCGGCGUGUUGUCCUCAAACUUUCUCCAAACCAAAAAGAGAGAGGAAAUGGAAGUGUCCAGAGUUUUCAAACUCGAUGACUUUUUCAUUCUUUUGAGGAGCACAAAAGAAGACAAUUUUCUAUGUUCUUUUCCAUGCAAUUACACUGAAUGGAGACCAAAGCUUUCAAGCUUGAAAA